ACAUUUCAUUAAACACAUUUGCAAAUGUGAAAGCAAAUUACCAUUUCAUUAAACACAUUUGCAAAUGUGAAAGCAAAUGAACAAAACACAAAAGCAAACUGCGAGACACAUUUACAUUUCACGAAACACAAAGCAAAUUAACAAAACACAAAACACAAAAGCAAACUGCGAGACACAUUUACAUUUCACGAAACACAAACGCAAACUCCAAAAACACAUUACAUUAACGAAAUUUCUUACGGAAGUAAGAAAUUUCUUACGGAAGUGAGAAAUUUCUUACGGAAGUGGUGUAGGUGCCCAACGCGUUCCUCCUGCCUGAUCCGUUCCCUAAUGGGGCGUCAGGAAAGCGGACGUGACGAAACAGGAAAUAGUGAGGAAUAAUUACAUACUUUCAGCGAGUGGAUGAGACGGUCGAUGCGGCGAGUGAAGAGCAUUCAUUUUUUAGCAUUUAUUUGAUCGUUCUGAGAAAAAUUGUCCGGUAACAUACACACACACAUGUAUUGCCCGUCUUGUGGCGUUUGUUUAUUCGCCUUAUUCACCCGGAACGUUCUAAAGACGUUGAGGGGUACACUUCAGGGGUACAUUCGGCAACGCACCAGCUGUCAUAGCGCCUCACUGUUGUGUGCCCAAAUGUUCGUCCUCAAAGAGAAAAAAUCCUACCGUGGACAGACUUUCCACCGUUUCCACAAAGAGCAGGCACUUCGCCGUGAAUGUAUAAAUCAAAUCAAGAGGGAUCUUGGUCCAUAUUUCAAGAUCAACGCUGAGACCAAAGUUUGCUCUGAGCACUUUGAGAAGCAGUGUUUUGUAAAGACCGCCUGUGGUAUCACAAAGCUUAUAAAGGAUGCUGUGCCUUCUGAGCUCUAGGAAGAGCAUUACUCAGGUGAGCUUCAAUCGAGCUAUGUGUAAAAUGUAACACCACAAAAAAAGCGUUUUUGUUUAUUACGGCAUCUGUGAGGCACGGGUGUGCAUGUGAAUGUCAACUGCUUCCUACAUGUUUAGAUCUGAUACACUUCCCCUGUCUAUAGGCCUAAUAUCAGCACCACGCGUUUAACAUGGCGUUAAGUUAUGGUGAUUAAACAUGUUGCAUGUCAAAUAGUAUAACCAGACAGGGCAAAGUGUUGAUGGUCCUAUCGCAGUUGCUCAGAUCAAAGAGCAUUGACAGAGGUUGUCGAGGAAAACGCUGUUCCCUAAACGCACAACAUUGGCUACGGUAAACGUCGAGGGGGGGGGGGUGGAGAAUCAGAGAUGGCCAUGUAUGGUGAGGUGAUAAGAAAGUAAGCAUAGCAGACAAAAUAAUUCCAAAAUGGCAAAAUAUACCGGUACUCUGGGACUUGUUGCUGUAUUGGAAACAGUUUUUCAAGCGGUGUUCCUCUACCCUCUGUCAGUUUCGGUACACUGAGUGUCCAUGAUUACUGUACUGUGUUUGUAGGCUACUGAAGUCAUGGUGCCUUUGGAGUUAGUUACUCUAGUUAUUACCAGUGUUGGGAAAGUUACUCAAAAACUGUAAUGCAUUACUGAUCACAUGUUACUGUCUUUUCAAAAUAAUCCUGUACACUACAAUAUUACUAUGUUUAAAAUGCAUGGCAUUACACUACUGUUACAUAAAUUACUUUCAAAAAGGACUUAGGCCUAAAUAUGAAUCUGGCCAUGUAUUACAAACAUAUCAGUAUCAGGGUGGUACAUUUCAAAUUAAGUAAUUCAAAUAAUUUUAUACAAUAUGGUACUAGCUGAGAUAUCACCUGACCUGCCACAAAAAAAUGUCAUCGACCCAUAUGCUGUACUCAACAUUUUUCUAAUGUUUUGUAUUCUGAUCUAUUACAGCUGGAGCUUUCCCAUGGCCAAGAGAUGAACGCUAAACUUGAUAGUUUUUUUUCCUCCUCCUUCCUGCCUGCACUGUACAAAAAGUCAGUAAACAAAAACAAAUGAUUGCAUUUCACAGGUUUGUUUAUUAUAAUUUCAAAGAGAAAUGAUGUAUGAAUAAUACAAGACAUUAUUAUAUAACAACAACAUUUAGUAUAAGAACAUUUCGUAUAAUAUGAUGAUAUAUCAUGAAUAUCAUGUACAUUUGAAGCAUGAGAGAUUUGUACAAAUAAACAUCAAUUCAAUGUA
Engraulis encrasicolus (European anchovy) is the source of this 2109-nucleotide long non-coding RNA. RefSeq lists it as uncharacterized. The transcript has 2 exons. The record is from RefSeq and is a predicted model, not a curated record. Lineage: Eukaryota; Metazoa; Chordata; Actinopteri; Clupeiformes; Engraulidae.